GUACACUCCUGCGGGAGGCAGCAGUGGGGAAUUUUGGACAAUGGGCGAAAGCCUGAUCCAGCAAUGCCGCGUGAGUGAAGAAGGCCUUCGGGUUGUAAAGCUCUUUUGUCAGGGAAGAAACGGUGAGAGCUAAUAUCUCUUGCUAAUGACGGUACCUGAAGAAUAAGCACCGGCUAACUACGUGCCAGCAGCCGCGGUAAUACGUAGGGUGCAAGCGUUAAUCGGAAUUACUGGGCGUAAAGCGUGCGCAGGCGGUUUUGUAAGUCUGAUGUGAAAUCCCCGGGCUCAACCUGGGAAUUGCAUUGGAGACUGCAAGGCUAGAAUCUGGCAGAGGGGGGUAGAAUUCCACGUGUAGCAGUGAAAUGCGUAGAUAUGUGGAGGAACACCGAUGGCGAAGGCAGCCCCCUGGGUCAAGAUUGACGCUCAUGCACGAAAGCGUGGGGAGCAAACAGGAUUAGAUACCCCAGUAGUCCCA
RNAcentral lists this ribosomal RNA (475 nucleotides) under uncultured organism. Its description in RNAcentral is "partial 16S ribosomal RNA". It matches the Rfam family "Bacterial small subunit ribosomal RNA", at positions 331 to 797 of the family's 1533-position model. The record is from RNAcentral.